GCCGGGUGUGGUGGCGGGCACCUGUAAUCCCAGCUACUCAGGAGGCUGAGGCAGGAGAAUUGCUUGAACCCAGGAGGCAGAGGUUGCAGUGAGCUGAGAUCACACCACUGCACUCCAGCCUGGGUGACAGAGCAAGACUCUGUCUCGA
This 148-nucleotide signal recognition particle RNA is filed under the name Homo sapiens (human). Its description in RNAcentral is "Metazoan signal recognition particle RNA". It matches the Rfam family "Metazoan signal recognition particle RNA". Rfam says of the family: The signal recognition particle (SRP) is a universally conserved ribonucleoprotein. It is involved in the co-translational targeting of proteins to membranes. The record is from Rfam by way of RNAcentral. Lineage: Eukaryota; Metazoa; Chordata; Mammalia; Primates; Hominidae.